RNAcentral lists this ribosomal RNA (495 nucleotides) under uncultured bacterium. Its description in RNAcentral is "partial 16S ribosomal RNA". It matches the Rfam family "Bacterial small subunit ribosomal RNA", at positions 28 to 507 of the family's 1533-position model. The record is from RNAcentral.
GACGAACGCUGGCGGCGUGCCUAAUACAUGCAAGUAGAACGCUGAAGGAGGAGCUUGCUUCUCUGGAUGAGUUGCGAACGGGUGAGUAACGCGUAGGUAACCUGCCUGGUAGCGGGGGAUAACUAUUGGAAACGAUAGCUAAUACCGCAUAAGAGUAGAUGUUGCAUGACAUUUGCUUAAAAGGUGCAAUUGCAUCACUACCAGAUGGACCUGCGUUGUAUUAGCUAGUUGGUGGGGUAACGGCUCACCAAGGCGACGAUACAUAGCCGACCUGAGAGGGUGAUCGGCCACACUGGGACUGAGACACGGCCCAGACUCUUACGGGAGGCAGCAGUAGGGAAUCUUCGGCAAUGGACGGAAGUCUGACCGAGCAACGCCGCGUGAGUGAAGAAGGUUUUCGGAUCGUAAAGCUCUGUUGUAAGAGAAGAACGAGUGUGAGAGUGGAAAGUUCACACUGUGACGGUAGCUUACCAGAAAGGGACGGCUAACUACGUG